CACGCACUCCCCCGCGGCGCGAGGGUUUAAGGACAAAAACGGCGGCAGCCAGCGAGCGUCGCAGGAAUGGCCACUCACUCGCUGUAGGGUUUUGCGCCCUCGCCGCCUUCCGUCUCCGCCUCCGCCCCCCGCCGCCCGAAUCGACUGAACAGCUGCCGCCGCCGGACGCGGGUUCGCGGAGGAGGAGAAGCGGCGGCAGCAGCUGAGCCGAGCCGAGAGGGUGGUGGAUGGCCGCCGCGCGCUGAGCCUCCGGCACUCCGCGCGCUCCGGUGUGCUCGCGCCCGCGCC
This 288-nucleotide long non-coding RNA is filed under the name Oryza brachyantha (malo sina). RNAcentral's name for it is "long non-coding RNA (OBRA_LNC002116)". Lineage: Eukaryota; Viridiplantae; Streptophyta; Magnoliopsida; Poales; Poaceae. The record is from RNAcentral.